This 803-nucleotide long non-coding RNA is filed under the name Zostera marina. Its description in RNAcentral is "long non-coding RNA (ZMAR_LNC004053)". Lineage: Eukaryota; Viridiplantae; Streptophyta; Magnoliopsida; Alismatales; Zosteraceae. The record is from RNAcentral.
CUUGCGUAUGACUCUGCCACUACCGCACGAACGCCGGCUGCACCUAGAGCAACAGGAGCGUGCUCUCUUGAUGAACCACACCCGAAAUUGUCCCCCGCGAUGAUGAUUGGGUAGAGAGUUGUAGAAGAUCCUGGGUUGACGAAUGGGAUCGGAUAAAGAGAGGUAGAGAGACCAAUUAGGGCUAGGGAUCCAAGCUUUUGGUACUCGUCAGGUUUUGAUGGAACUAGGGUUAGGUGUUCGGCUGGAAUGAUCUGAUCAGUGUCAAUGUUGUCUCCAAGGACGUAGCACGCGCCGUGGAAUACGGAAAGAAGGGAAGUAUCAGAGUUUCCAUCGGAGGUUGCGGCGACGACUGGCAAAAGAUGGGAUUUACGCUGGACACAUCGAAUAGGAUUGAAGGAAAAGGCAGUUCGCGUUAGCAGUCUGUCGCUGACUACCGGCGAUCGGAAAUACUUAAUCGGCGGUUUAAGAUGGAUGCAUUGUAAAUAAGUGGUGGAGUUCCCUUUGCCCGAGGAUCGGAAUUCCAAGGGGAGCGUUGAGAAAGACUGUGUCGCCGCCGUUGCCAUGAUUUUGGUCCCUAUGUGGAAUAUGAGAAAGAAUAAUUACAGAUCUAAACAGCAUAGAACUAAAAUCACCUCCUUACAAUUUUUUUUACCCAAAUCAACCCUGAGAUUGAUAGUUAAUUACUGAUGUUACCAUCGGAAACGAAAUCAAAAUCAAUAGAGAAAUAAUGGAAUGAAGAUAACCGGAUGAUGAAGUCUGGAAGUCUGAUGCUCUGCUGGUCGGAAUGUUUCUGAUCGAUGGUA